This 508-nucleotide ribosomal RNA is filed under the name Enterococcus faecium. Its description in RNAcentral is "bacterial SSU rRNA". The record is from RNAcentral. Lineage: Bacteria; Bacillati; Bacillota; Bacilli; Lactobacillales; Enterococcaceae.
ACGAACGCUGGCGGCGUGCCUAAUACAUGCAAGUCGUACGCUUCUUUUUCCACCGGAGCUUGCUCCACCGGAAAAAGARGAGUGGCGAACGGGUGAGUAACACGUGGGUAACCUGCCCAUCAGAAGGGGAUAACACUUGGAAACAGGUGCUAAUACCGUAUAACAAUCGAAACCGCAUGGUUUUGAUUUGAAAGGCGCUUUCGGGUGUCGCUGAUGGAUGGACCCGCGGUGCAUUAGCUAGUUGGUGAGGUAACGGCUCACCAAGGCCACGAUGCAUAGCCGACCUGAGAGGGUGAUCGGCCACAUUGGGACUGAGACACGGCCCAAACUCCUACGGGAGGCAGCAGUAGGGAAUCUUCGGCAAUGGACGAAAGUCUGACCGAGCAACGCCGCGUGAGUGAAGAAGGUUUUCGGAUCGUAAAACUCUGUUGUUAGAGAAGAACAAGGAUGAGAGUAACUGUUCAUCCCUUGACGGUAUCUAACCAGAAAGCCACGGCUAACUACGUGC